This 492-nucleotide ribosomal RNA is filed under the name uncultured bacterium. Its description in RNAcentral is "partial 16S ribosomal RNA". It matches the Rfam family "Bacterial small subunit ribosomal RNA", at positions 29 to 507 of the family's 1533-position model. The record is from RNAcentral.
AGUGAACGCUGGCGGUAGGCCUAACACAUGCAAGUCGAACGGCAGCACAGUAAGAGCUUGCUCUUACGGGUGGCGAGUGGCGGGCGGGUGAGGAAUACAUCGGAAUCUACUUUUUCGUGGGGGAUAACGUGGGGCAACUUACGCUACUACCGCAUACGACCUACGGGUGAAAGCAGGGGAUCUUCAGACCUUUCGCGAUUGAAUGAGCCGAUGUCGCAUUAGCUAGUUGGCGGGGUAAAGGCUCACCAAGGCGACGAUCCGUAGCUGGCCUGAGAGGAUGAUCAGCCACACUGGAACUGAGACACGGUCCAGACUCCUACGGGAGGCAGCAGUGGGGAAUAUUGGACAAUGGGCGCAAGCCUGACCCAGCCAUACCGCGUGGGUGAAGAAGGCCUUCGGGUUGUAAAGCCCUGUUGUUGGGAAAGAAAAGCAGCAGGUGAAUACCCCGCUGUUCUGACGGUACCCAAAGAAUAAGCACCGGCUAACUUCGUG